GGGGGUAUAGCUCAAGUGGUAGAGCACACGCUUAGCAUGCAUGAGGUCCUGGGUUCAAUCCCCAGUACCUCCU
RNAcentral lists this transfer RNA (73 nucleotides) under Camelus ferus (Wild Bactrian camel). It matches the Rfam family "tRNA". Rfam says of the family: Transfer RNA (tRNA) molecules are approximately 80 nucleotides in length. Their secondary structure includes four short double-helical elements and three loops (D, anti-codon, and T loops). Lineage: Eukaryota; Metazoa; Chordata; Mammalia; Artiodactyla; Camelidae. The record is from Rfam by way of RNAcentral.